This 440-nucleotide ribosomal RNA is filed under the name uncultured bacterium. RNAcentral's name for it is "partial 16S ribosomal RNA". It matches the Rfam family "Bacterial small subunit ribosomal RNA", at positions 338 to 795 of the family's 1533-position model. The record is from RNAcentral.
CCUACGGGUGGCAGCAGUGGGGAAUAUUGCACAAUGGGGGAAACCCUGAUGCAGCGACGCCGCGUGAGUGAAGAAGUAAUUCGUUAUGUAAAGCUCUUUCAGCAGGGAAGAAAAUGACGGUACCUGAGUAAGUAGCCCCGGCUAACUACGUGCCAGCAGCCGCGGCAAUACGUAGGGGGCAAGCGUUAUCCGGAUUUACUGGGCGUAAAGGGGGCGUAGACGGCAGUGCAAGUCUGGAGUGAAAGGCGGGGGCUCAACCCCCGGACUGCUCUGGAAACUGUACGGCUGGAGUGCAGGAGAGGUAAGUGGAAUGCCUGGUGUAGCGGUGAAAUGCGUAGAUAUUAGGAAGAACACCAGUGGCGAAGGCGGCUUACUGGACUGUAACUGACGUUGAGGCACGAAAGCGUGGGGAGCAAACAGGAUUAGAUACCCUUGUAGUC